GAGAUAGCUGGUUCUCCCCGAAAUAGCUUUAGGGCUAGCCUCAUAUUAGAUACCCGGAGGUAAAGCACUGAAUGGCCUAGCGCCCGAGAGGGUAGCGAAGCCUAUCAAACUAAGAAUGCCGGAGUAUUGAUGUAUGGGAGUCAGACAGUGUGAGAUAAAUCUCAUUGUCAAAAGGGAAACAGCCCAGAUCUACAGCUAAGGUCCCAAAUUGUAUCUAAGUGGAAAACGAUGUGGAAAUACGCAGACAACCAGGAUGUUGGCUCAGAAGCAGCCACUCAUUUAAAGAGUGCGUAAUAGCUCACUGGUCGAGCGUCUCUGCGCGGAAAAUUUAACGGGGCUAAGAUACAAACCGAAGCUUAGGCUGCAACGUAAGUUGCGGGGUAGGGGAGCGUUGUGUAAGCGGAGAAACAGUAGCGUAAGCGGCUGUGGAGUUUACAGAAGUGAGAAUGCCGGAAUGAGUAGCGCGAAUGUGGUGAGAAUCCACAUGGCCGGAAACCUCAGGUUUUUGGAGGAAGGUUCGUCCGCUCCAAGUUAGGCGGGAGCUAAGGUCAGGCCGAAAGGCGUAGCCGAUGCACAGACGGUAGAGAUUCCGUCCCCACCGAAAGAUUUAAGCACAGGGACACUUUUUGAAGGUCGGAGCCAGGUGUUGGUUCUGGUAGUGAUCGAGGGAAAUUAGUACCGAAGUCCGGCUGGAGAAGAUGGCGAGAAAAGCUGUGUGUAUAUCUAAGGUGCCCGUACCGCAAACCGACACAGGUAGGUAGGAAGAAGAUUCUAAGGCCAACGGGAGAAGGGUUGUUAAGGAACUCGGCAAGUUGACCCCGUAACUUCGGAAUAAGGGGUGCUCACGAGAGUGAGCCGCAGAGAAUAGGCCCAGGCAACUGUUUACCAAAAACACAGGUUUGUGCUAAAUCGAAAGAUGACGUAUACGAGCUGACGCCUGCCCGGUGCUGGAAGGUUAAGAGGAGAUGUGCAAGCAUUGAAUCGAAGCCCCAGUGAACGGCGGCCGUAACUAUAACGGUCCUAAGGUAGCGAAAUUCCUUGUCAGGUAAGUUCUGACCCGCAUGAAAGGCGUAAUGAUCUGGGCACUGUCUCAACAGCCCGCCCGGCGAAAUUGUAGUACCGGUGAAGAUGCCGGUUACCCGCGACAAGACGGAAAGACCCCAUGGAGCUUUACUGUAGCCUGAUAUUGGGUUUCGGUGUUGCAUGCACAGGAUAGAUGGGACGCUAGGAAAGAAGCGCUUUGGCGUUUCUGGAGCGGACGUUGGGAUACCAUCCUUGCGACAUUGGAAUUCUAACCUGCGCCUCUGAAUCGAGGCGGGGGACAUUGUCAGGUGGGCAGUUUGACUGGGGCGGUCGCCUCCUAAAAAGUAGCGGAGGCGUUCAAAGGUUCGUUCGAUCUGGAACGGAAACCAGAUGAUUGAGUGCAAACGCAUAAACGAGCCUGACUGCGAGACUGACGGGUCGAGCAGAGACGAAAGUCGGAGUUAGUGAUCCGGUGGUAUGUGAGUGGAAAUGCCAUCGCU
Molecule: ribosomal RNA, 1523 nt
Filed under: human gut metagenome
Description: bacterial LSU rRNA
Rfam family: Bacterial large subunit ribosomal RNA
Source: RNAcentral